GCAGCCGCGGUAAUACGUAGGUCCCGAGCGUUGCGCGAUGUUACUGGGCGUAAAGCGUCCGUAGCCGGUUUCGUAAGCGGAUUGUCAAAGCCCGAAGCUCAACUUCGGCAAGGCAUUCCGAACUGCGUUACUUGAGUCCUGUUCAGGUAGGCGGAGUUCCCGGUGUAGCGGUGAAAUGCGUAGAUAUCGGGAGGAACACCAGUGGCGAAGGCGGCCUACUGGGACGGUACUGACGGUCAUGGACGAAAGCUGGGGGAGCAAACCGGAUUAGAUACCCGGGUAGUCCCAGCCGUAAACGAUGGAUGUUAGGUGUAGUGAUAACUUCGCUGCACCCCAGCUAACGCGUUAAACAUCCCGCCUGGGGAGUACGGGCGCAAGCCUGAAACUCAAAGGAAUUGGCGGGGGCCCGCACAACCGGUGGAGCGUCUGGUU
Molecule: ribosomal RNA, 432 nt
Filed under: uncultured Aquificales bacterium
Lineage: Bacteria; Pseudomonadati; Aquificota; Aquificia; Aquificales
Description: bacterial SSU rRNA
Rfam family: Bacterial small subunit ribosomal RNA
Source: RNAcentral